RNAcentral lists this unclassified non-coding RNA (593 nucleotides) under Hevea brasiliensis (rubber tree). The record is from RNAcentral. Lineage: Eukaryota; Viridiplantae; Streptophyta; Magnoliopsida; Malpighiales; Euphorbiaceae.
UUCACUCUCAUAUUGUGCAUCCAUGUUGAUAUCAAAUUCCCGUUCACUUGAAAUAACAUCUAUAUCAUCAUUCCCCCCCAUUCUACCAAUUCGCUGUUCCUGGCCUUUUUCUUCCAGUACACUAUGUGAAACUGUUUGAUUUGAAUAGCUCCUAAAAAAAGCCAUACUCUCACGUGGAAUUUCUGCAAAAAUAUCACUUUCCACCUGUUGCUAUCAGAUAUGUAUGUUGUGGACACAAUGCAGCAUUAAGCUUCUUCUUGUCAGUCUCCUGUAACCUCUCCAGAAGUCCUUUGUACGUAACCAAAAAUAGAGAAAAUAGAGUGAUUCAAGCAUGGUUAAUUUAUGUCGAACUUUAUUAAAAAAAUAGAGGAAGUGCGCAGGUUGAUAAUCGUGCGCACCUUUCCAAUCGCCGGUUAGUCAAUCGCCGGCGGCUAAAAAUUUUUUUAAAAAAGAAAAAGGUCGUUUCGUGGUCCGGGUUUCGGUUUCGCAAAGGAAUUGGGUUUGGGCUAUGAGUUCGUGUGUCGGCGGCCGGGGUAGCUAAGAUGCGCCGGACGGCGAGGUUGCCGUCGUUCCGAUUUGAGCGGAAGACGACG